Long non-coding RNA from Amphiprion ocellaris (clown anemonefish), 1931 nucleotides. RefSeq lists it as uncharacterized. Lineage: Eukaryota; Metazoa; Chordata; Actinopteri; Pomacentridae. The transcript has 2 exons. The record is from RefSeq and is a predicted model, not a curated record.
AUAAAUACUUCUAACCAGUAGCAUUGUUUUGUUGUACGUUAAGUUAGCGACUUGUGAAGGGUUGUGUUUUGUCGUGUUUGAGCAGUUGGUCCGGACACGUAAGCGGCUAAGUUAGCUAGCGGGCUAAUUAACACAGGUGGCUAACUUACCGCUGAACACCUGUGUUAGUUGCUGCCGCUCACAUGCUCACAGCAUGUUGAAGCAAAACAACCAGAUGAAAACUGUGAUGGUGUUGGAUUGUCAGACCGUAAUGUUGCAGCUCAGAGCAGCUUUUCUAGCUCAGUUCAUUCUGACAUUCAGCUAUGAAUCAACACAGCAGAUGGUGAUCCAUGCUGUGGAAGUCUCACAUCUCCUGAUUUAAUGGAGCUGCUUUGCACUUUUUACACUGUUUAUUCACCAGCACUUUAUUUAAUAAAAGUCCCAUCUAGUUUUUAUGAGGAAUGUGAUGUUUUAAUUUCUCUGUGAAUAACUGCAGUCUAAUGCAACAGCUGGAGUUGUAACAUCUGUCCUGAUAUUGAUCAUGAAGUGUUGAUCAGAAUACUUAUGGUCAGCAGUCAUCCCUGAAGAUUUACAUUAGAAUCUUUGUGUUGUGAACUUUGGUAAGAAGCAGAAACUUCAGCAUUGCCAUGGAUACAUGAGUGUUAAAUUCAGUCCGUGUUUCCAUUUUGGGAAAUGCAGUCCAGCAGAUGAGUUUGUUUUUACUGCCAUCUACCAUUCAGUCUGAGAUAUUAAGAAUACAUAAAUGUGGAAAUGAACAGAUUUUAUUUUUAUUUAUUCCACAGCUGCACGCUACAGGUAAAGUUCCAGAAUGUGGAGGAAUUUAGUCUCACAAUAAAUAUUAUCUGAAAGUCGGGUUAUCGUUGUUUAUUAGCACAAUACAAAAAGAUUCAUGUUAGACAUAUUCCAGUAAAGACUCUAGAAUAUCAUGAUUUAUGUAAAUUUACCUCAAUAAUAUGAAUGUUCAGGUUAAGAUGGUGCAGUGAUAUUUAUUAUGUAAGUUUAACUGAUUAAAGUUUAUGACUGCACUACAGUAUUAUUUAUAUUUACAUCAUUAUUAUAUUUAGGGUCAGACCCUAUAGUAUUGAGAUUAAGAACUCAAAUAUUCUAUAAAAUGUAAAUACACUGAACUCAUUUGGAUAUAUUUAAGUGAGACUCUACAAUAUUAUUUGACACAAAUCCAUCUAAAUCAAAAUUUUAAUCAUUUUUACUCCAAACAUUUACUGAUUUAAAUAUUAAAAUCACUCCUUUCUAAUCCUCUGCUGUACGUUCAAACCUGAGGCCUUAAAUAGAAACACACAAGUAUCUGAUUGAAGGAACUUCUGCAGAGUCCUGGUUCCAGAACAUGAUGAUAGAAUUAUAGACAAACUUUAACAAAAGCUGCCUGAGAGUUGACAGGUUUUUAUGUUAGAUUUUGUUCAGUAGUUUAAUGAGUUAUCAGCAAAAAUCUAAUGUUGAUUUGAUGAACUUCAUUUCCUAAAACAUCCAGAAUUGGCGCUCAUAUCUUUGGCAGCUGUAAAGUUUCUGCUCCUUCAAAGUUCACAACACAAUGAAUGAAUUCCUAAAACACUCUCAAUGCUGGAGAGCGUUUGUGAUGCUGAAGCAGUGAUCAGUUUUUCUGUUUCUUCUCUGGAGAUGCACAAUGAGGGACGUCUGCAGAGACUGAGAAAGAGUCUCACCACAUCCUGACAUGAGGAAAAAGACUUUAUUGAAGACUACAAUGAGAAAAACUAUCAGACAGCAGACGGCUGCAUUCAAGAGAAGAAGACCAUCAAACAUCCAUGUCAGCUGAUGGAGGUCCAAGAGUCUCACCGAACAAACAACCUACAGAGUGAAGACCUCAAAUCUGAUUGGACGGCCUCCUAUUCAGCCACGUGUGAACAAAUGCCUCUAAGUUGAUUUGUUUUCUAAAAUAAAUCUAGUAGGAGUCCUAA